GCUUAGUCCAACUCCACACCCACCACCAUUGGCUGUUUGUGAUCAUCCGAAAAAGAAUGGUGACCGUGGAAGAAGUUCGUAAGGCUCAACGUGCCCAAGGCCCUGCCACCGUGUUGGCCAUCGGCACAUCAACCCCGCCUAAUUGUGUUGAUCAGAGCACAUACCCUGACUACUAUUUCCGUAUCACAAAUAGUGAGCACAAGACCGAGUUGAAAGAGAAGUUCAAGCGCAUGUGUAAGUUUUUUACUUUGAUCUAAAAGCUAAAUUACCUUAUAUACAAACUUAAUGUGAUUUUGUGUUUCAUACAUGAUUCGGCUAUGAAAAUAAAAGAGGAGAAAGAUAGAUGUGCAUGGUUCAUAUCAUUUUCAUGCAAAUGCUUUAACGGAAAAAAAGUUAGCUACGUAUACAGUAUGACUUGAAAAUAGAUUAAAGUUCUUUUCUGGUUCCAAAAAUACUAGAUUGAAGUUUGUUAGGUUCAUUUCUUGUAAAGCACAUUUAUUCAAAUCAUAUAACUCCACAGACUUAAUUUGUCUCACGUUUUCUAUCAAUAGAUUAAGGAUUUGAUUACAAGUUUGAAAUUUAUACAAGUGAAUUAAUAAGUUUUUCUUUUUUUUUUACCAAAUAUUAGUAAGUUGUUAGAUGUUCUAGCUUAUAAUUUUUUUUUAUUUUUUUACAAUACUAUAUAUUUAUUAUUUUUAUGAUUUCAAAUAUUAUAUAGUUGAUUGAGUCUUAGUUUGAUUGACAUUGACAUUGUUACCAAUACAAAAAACGUAGAUUCGAGCGCAUUAAAAUACGUUUAUCCUCAUAUUUAAAUAUUGGAAAGGAUUAUGGAUAGUUUCAAGUAUUAUAUAAAUAUUAAUUUUUUGGACGAAUAAUAAAUGUUAAUUUGAAAUUAUUUUUCUUUUAUAUUUUAUAUUAUAGUAUUUUUGUGAAAUUUCUAUAAUUUUUAAAAAUAAUUUGAUCAUUUCAAUUAUAAAUUUUUAAAUGUUUUUUUCAUAAAUGUACUUUUAAAUAAUUUUUUUUUUCAAAUUAUAAAUCUGCAUUGCAUUCUUUCUGCCCAUGACCCACCUAAAAGUUUCUUACGAUUGAAGCUUUUAUGAGACAGAGAAUGACAAUAUGUAUUAUAUAAUAUUAUAAACUGAAUUAGCAAUGGAUUUUGAAGGGGGAGACCUAGACUGAUGUUUUCCCUAUCUAGUGAAGUUGGAUAAAAAAAUCAGUUAAAACACUCUUAUAUGCUAAGUUGGGAGAAUUAAAAGUAAGUUUAUUGUGUUUGAUUAUUUAGGUGAAAAAUCGAUGAUCAAGAAGCGAUACAUGUACCUUACAGAAGAGAUUUUGAAAGAGAAUCCCAAUGUAUGUGAAUACAUGGCUCCUUCACUGGACGCUAGGCAAGAUAUGGUGGUAGUUGAGGUGCCAAAGCUAGGCAAAGAAGCAGCCACCAAGGCCAUUAAGGAGUGGGGCCAGCCCAAGUCCAAGAUCACCCACCUUGUCUUUUGCACCACUAGCGGUGUGGACAUGCCUGGGGCUGACUACCAGCUCACCAAGCUUUUAGGCCUCCGCCCCUCCGUUAAGCGCCUCAUGAUGUACCAACAAGGUUGCUUCGCAGGGGGGACGGUGCUCCGAGUGGCUAAGGACUUAGCUGAGAACAACAAAGGUGCUCGUGUACUUGUUGUGUGCUCGGAGAUUACUGCUGUUACCUUUCGUGGACCUAGUGACACUCACCUAGACAGUCUUGUGGGCCAAGCAUUGUUUGGUGAUGGUGCCGCAGCUGUUAUAAUCGGGGCAGACCCCGUGCCCGAAAACGAGAAGCCCAUGUUUGAACUAGUCUCAGCAGCCCAAACGGUCUUGCCAGAUAGUGAUGGUGCGAUUGAUGGUCACCUUCGUGAAGUUGGUCUUACAUUUCACCUUCUUAAGGAUGUUCCGGGGCUUAUUUCGAAGAAUAUAGAAAAGAGCCUGGUAGAAGCAUUUCAACCAUUGGGCAUAUCCGAUUGGAACUCCCUUUUUUGGAUUGCUCAUCCUGGUGGUCCAGCAAUAUUAGAUCAAGUAGAAGCCAAAUUAGCACUGAAGCCAGAGAAGCUACGAGCCACAAGGCACGUUCUUUCAGAGUAUGGUAACAUGUCAAGUGCUUGUGUUCUAUUUAUUUUGGAUGAGAUGAGGAAGAAAUCAAGGGAAGAUGGGCUUCAGACCACAGGAGAAGGAUUGGAGUGGGGAGUGCUCUUUGGGUUUGGACCUGGCCUCACUGUUGAGACUGUUGUGCUCCAUAGUGUUGCUGCUUAAAGUUAAACAAACAUGCCUUUUAAGUAAUUGGUCGUGCUCCACUUGGCUUGCAGUUUUAUCUUCUUCUUUUUUCCUUUUUUAGAAUCCUAUGAAUUUGUGUGUUUAUCGUUAAAGACUAGAAGCCUUUGAUGGUGUGGGCGGGAAGCUUAACGCCUAUUCAAUUCAUGUAUCAACUUAUAUUAAAUUUAUGGCAAUAAUAAGUUACUUUGCAAACUAUUCUACCAAAAACAAACUUCUGUUAAUCUCUCUAUAUAUGGAUCCUUAUGCUAACAGUUGUAUUAUUUUCCCAUAAAAUGUUUUUUAAUUAUUUCUUUUACACGUGAAUUGUUAUUCCUACUGAGUCUACUCCUUUGUUUGCAUAAGCUACAAAAUAAGGAAGCCAACUAAAUGCUACAGUUGUCCUAAAUUUUGGGUGGGCUAUAUUUAUUGUUUUGAGGUAAAAACUCAAACUUGCUAUAAAAUAUAAAAAAUAGUAAGUAACAUAAUUAAAAAAUAGGAUAACAAAAGAAAAGUAUGUAUUCAUCAAUAGAAAUAUUUAUAAUACUUCUUUAAAGUUAGUAUUUAUGUAUAUAAGAAAUAUAAAUAUUCAUCACACUCUCUCUUGGGGAGAGUGUUUAUUAAUAGAUAAUAUGUGACGUGAGUCUCAAGGGGAUCAUAAGGUGAUCAUAAAUUAGUUUGUCAAUUCAAGGGGAGAGGGCCAAACAAAAAGAGGAAUACGAUUGAGCUAUCACCUUUUGUGCACUGUUAUUGGUGUAGUUGAAAAUAUCACAAGGCUUUCCAAUGUCCAAUUAAAUAUUCAAAUAGAGGGAAUACGAUUGAGAUAUAACCUUUUGUGCAAAGUUAUUGGUGUAGUUCAAAAGAUCAUAAGGGUUUCCAAUGUCCAAUUAAAUAUCCAACUAGAGAAGAAAGUAAAUAUGACUUUGUACCUUUUGUUGACUCAUACUCUAGUGGAAAAUAGAUUUGUGAUGGCAAACUUUGUGAACUGGAAAAAGAUAAUGGUGAUGAUUUUUUAAUUUGAAUCUAUUAAGUUAGAUGAGAUAGAAACAUCAUGUUCUCUUACUAAGAGUAUUGUAUUGAAUUGAAUAUCCAUAAUUCUUGUAAGGGGGAUAUAGGAAGUAAGGAAGAAAAAAUUGAAAAGAUAGAGAGAAAAAAGAUCUUAAGUGAUAAAAGUCUACUUGAUGGUCCACUUUUGGUGAGUAACAAUACAUAUGAGGUAAAAUUGGAGAGUUCUCAAGUGGGAAAAGAAAAUGAAAAACAACAAAAUAUUCAUGCAAAAGUGAGGAAUGGUUAUGUUUUAACUAACCAUAACUCAAAUUUAUCUAGUGGUUUUUCCUUGUUACAUGAUUUUAAGGAUCCAUUGACGGACUUCCAAUUACAUUACUCUAACAUCGAUUGACACUUUUACUUGUCGGAGAGAGGUAAGUUGAAUAUUAAUAAUUCUCCACAAGUGCUACAAGGUAAGAAAGGUAAGGAAACGUUAGAAAUUGAUUCAAGAAGACAUACAAUAAAUGUUUUUGAUAAGUGUGCUAUUGAUUUUGUUUUUCCUUAUAACAUGCUUUCUUGUUGGUCAAAUUUCAUUAAACCUUGGUCUGAAAGUUCAAUUAAUUUUAUGGGUUUAUCUAGAUUUGUAAAGGUUAGAAAUAGUAAUUAUGUUGCACUAGAUAGGUUUACUAAAACAUUUUAUAUAUUUUCUCUUGCAACAAAAUUUUCUAUCUUGACCUUUAACGAUGAAUUUUUACACAAUCUUAACAUUCUUGAUUUUUAUAAUUAUGUGAAAUUCUUGACUCAUCGUUGGAAAUUCUUAUGGAUGACCAUGUAUAUUCAAAGAAAGUUACAAGUUAUUUUUUAUUUGAACACUCAUGUGCCUAAUAUUUCUUUAUUCAGUGUUGAUGGUUUGUGUUUGAAGGAGAGAUACUUGAUCCACUCUAAUUUGGGAGAUCAAAAUUAUUUUGUAACACCGCUUACCCGUAUCCAAGGCUGGAACAGGGUACGAGGCAUUACCAGACUUAACCAUACACAUAGAUGAAAAUCGGGCCAUAAAAUUUCAUUUAAUUUAAAACUUUUCGAACACAUGCAUAGACUCAUAUUUAAAGACAUAUAACGUGGCAUAAAUGAGCACUUACACAUCCAUAAUCAUGCAAUAACAUGUCAUUAUUUGCUUACCAUCCUGUAUAUAAUAUACAGUCUUACCUUAACUAGAACUAGACAUGCUAAAUCUUAUUCUCAUUUUAUACCACCAUAAUGUAGUUACCAAUUUGUCCAUUAAACAUCCAUAUUCAAGGAAACAUUAUUCAUUUCCAUUUAAUUCAUGAUCCACUGGCCUGCAUUUAACUUACCUGAUGUAUUACCAAUCAUGCAUAACAAACAAAGCUAACUAUAUCAUCACAUCAAAAUAUAGGACAUGACAUGAUUAAUUAAACUUAUAAACCUUAAUGGAUAAUGACCACAUCUCAUGAUCACAUACGAUAACUCAAUGCAGACCGAUACGUAUGGUCAAAGUCAUAAUAAUAAUACAUAUCACAAACCAACUUCCUAUACAUGCCACUCACUUGAUAUUUCUAAUAUUUAAUUAAUUCUCCCAAAAAUGAUAGCUUGAUAGUGUGAUUUUGCCUCCGACGAUCUCCAACCCCGAGCCGACCUACAAAUACUAAAGAAAUGGAGAGGAUGGGUAAACUUUACUAUUAGUAAGUCCAUAUGAAGUUAAUAAGCAAUUACUAACAUGCUUUUCAAGAUAAAACACUAUAAUUGUACAAUUACACAUGUUUAGGUUAAGCUGUUUUAUCGAGUUAUAGUUACUAAAUCAUUCAUAUUUGGAGUUACAAAACUCCAACUUUAGAUUCAUUAUUUUUUCUUGAAACUAGACUCAUAUACCUUUCACCCAUAAAAUUUCCAGAAUUUUUGGUUUAGCCAAUUAGUACAAUUUAUUCAUUAAAGUUUUCCCCGUUUCUCUGUCUAACAGUUCUGACCUCUCUUCACUAAAAAUUAUUUAUCUCAUAUUUCGGGACUUGGAUGAUGUUUCCGUCCAUUCCUCCUGAAAUUAGACUCAUUUAUAAUUAUAUUCAUAUAAAUUAUAACUCAUAAUUAUUUUUGUACAAUUUUUAACAAUUUUUCCAAGUCAGAAUAGGGGAUCUCGAAUUCAUUCUAACACUGUCUCACAAAAAUUAGAAUAUCACAUAAUAUAGAACUCUUUUACUUCCCUUGUUUCUUUUAUAUGAAAAUAGACUCAUUAAUAUUUAAUUAAAUAAUUUUUUUGAAAUUUAAUUCAACUUAAAAAUUUUUUGGUGAAUUUUCAAAGUCACACAACUGCUUCUGUCCAACACUGUUUUACUACUAAAAUUCACUCUUACAUAAUUUCACUUAAUCCAUUUUGUCUUAUUGAAGUUCACUCAAAUAUCGAGCACAUUGCUCGUAAUUUUCAUAAACAUAUACCUGCACUUAUUCAUCAUAUAAUCAUGUUUACAUGUAUUUUUACUUAAUCGAUUUUCCCAUUGAACUCUUCGGAAUAAUAACUAAUACUCAGUUGCCUAUACAUAUUUUCACACUUGUAGACAAGGCUAUUUGGUACGCAUAGUAGCCUGCACUUAGUACUACACAUGCGACCAAUUAUCCGGUACACGUAGUAGCUUGCACUUAGUACUACACACGUGAUCAAAGUUAUCGGGUACGCAUAAUAGGCUGCACUUAGUACUACACAUGAGACCAAUUAUCCUGUACACGUAGUAGCUUGCACUUAAUACUACACACGUGACCUCACAAUAGAUCAUUCGUAUCGUUUCUAUUCCGAAGGCUCAACCGGGAAAUUCCUCACUUUCUAACAUGUUACAAAUUUAUUCAUAGUCCUUUUUCAAUUUGCAAUUUACAACAAAUAAUCAUUAGCAAUUCAUACAACCCAUGUAAUAGUAAUUUAACAUUCAAUUCAUGUAACAAUAAUUUGCCAUUCAAUUUCACAUGACACAACAAGCAUCACAUUUUCCAUAUCAUACACAUCAUCCAUCAACUUCUCCUAAACAUAUUAAAUCAGACAAUUUAUUCCAUAACAAUAGAAAAUUACAAUUCAAGUAUGAUAUUGCAUUAUUAUUAACACAUGAACUUACCUCGUAUUCGAAAAUGACCAUUUUUACCAUUUUGUCCACAACAUGGUAUUUUGCCGAUUUUAGCCUGAAUUUCAAUUUUCCUUACUCUAUCAUUACAAAUAUAGCCUAAUUAAGACUCACAUUAUUCAAAUUGACCCAAAAUCAUAUUUUUGAAAAAUUACAAUUUUGCCCCUAAACUUUGUCAAAAUUAUAUUUUUGCCCCUAGAUUUGUAAAUUAAACUUCAUCCUAUUUUAUUAUGUUUUAUGACAUGCUGAUCAUUUUUCCCUUCUAUAGCAACAUUAAAUUCACACUCUAACAUGUACUUAUGAACAUUAGGUAUUUUUACCGAUUAUGUCGUUUUACUCGUUUUCACGUAAAAUCGCUUAGUAAAAAUUGUUUAACACAAUUUCAAGCUUCAUAUUCUACCAUAAAACAUCAAAAUAAACAUAUUUCACCUAUGGGUAUUUUUUCAAAUAUAAACCCUAGGUUAAAUUAUUGCUAGAAUAAGCUUAACCAAGUUACUGAGAUUUCAAAAAUGUAAAGAACUUUAAAAACGGGGCUAAGGAGCACUUACAAUCGAGAUUGGAAGUUUGAACAAACCUUAACCAUGGCUGCUUCUGGUAGAAACAGUUGAAUGAAGAAGAUGAUAGAUAAUUUGGCUUAUUUCCCUUUUUUAAUUCUUUUAAUUAUUAGUUUACCAGAAUACCCCUAACUUAAAAAUAUUUUAUUACAUCCAUUUCAUGUCUAUUUUUGUCCACCAAUUAACCAAUGUCCUAAUUACCAUUUAAGGAUCCUCAAUUUAAAAUUUCAUAACAAUUGGACACCUCUAGCAUGUAGAACUCAACUUUUUCACUUUUUACGAUUUAGUCCUUUUGACUAAAUUAAGUGCCCGAACGUCAAAAUUUUCGAACGAAAUUUUCACGAAAUUAUUUCGUGAAAUCGUAGACCAUAAAAAUAUAAUAAAAAAUAAAAUUUUCAUCGUCGAAUUUCUGGUCCCGAAACCACUGUUUUAACUAGGCCCAAAAUCAGGGUGUUACAAUAUCUUUGAUCCUGGAGAUAGUUUUGACACACAAGAAAGUUUAGGUAAGUUUUUUUUUCUCCUCUGGUGGAAUAGUAGUCAAAUUCGUUUAGCAUUUUUGGGUGCUGUGUGGCUCGAGAGUGUUUUAGCAUCAAAAUCGUAUCAGAUGUGUUCUCAAAUCGUGAAAAUCAAGGUUUCGACGAAAGACAAAAUUGCCUCCUGUCGACGCCACAUGGGCAUGUGGUCACCCGUGUGGUUGGCCGUGUGCGAGACACGGUCGUGUGUCUGACAAAGGUGCGGUCGUGUGUAAGACACGACCGUGUGGUGGUUGGAGUGCGACCGUGUGGGCUAUAUGGGCUAGGCCAAGUUGGGCGUGUGGGCCUACAUGGGCAUGUGGAUUUUGGGCCAGGCAAUGUGGGCCACACGGGUAAGGCCAAUCUGGGCGUGUGGGGCACACGGGUCGUUCCAAUCGACUAUGGGCCUAGCGUAGGGUCGGUAAGGUCUAACCAAACCCUAGUUAUGUGACCUGGUAUUUCUGAUAGUAUACUCUGAGUAGGACACUAUUAUGCAUGUCCAUCUGUUCUGCUACAUGAAUCUCUAUUUUCUGUAUUAAACAUGUUGAGUAUGUUUAAUCUGUAAAUUCUAUAUCUGAUUUUUAUAACUGUUUUGGGGUAGGAUUGUAUAUAUGGAGGAAGUGUUCUAAAAGGCGACCUUCGCCUAUAUUCUGGCAGCUUGGCUGCACAUUAUCUGACUUGUGUCGUAAUGACACAAUAAGGUGUGUAGGGAUAGGUGGGUAUUUUUAACCCCACAUGGUGUGUUGGGAUAGUUAGAGUUGGUGUGUAGAGGAUGGGGGUAGAAUUUUGUAUAUUUUGUUCUGUAUAUCUGAUUCUGUUGACUGUAUCUGAAAUGGGUCUGAGCCCGAAUCUAUAUCUGAUCGCAUAUGGUAUUUCUGUAUGUUUGCAUGCUUAAUUAUGUUAGGUUACUCACUGAGUUUACGAAAACUCACAUUUGCUUGUCUGUUCUGUUCAGGUAAUCCAUAGACUUAGGCAGACUGGUGUGACGGAGACUCAGCGGUGACCACUCGACCGAGAAUUGUAAUGCUUAGUAAUUUUUAUGGUUUUUACUUAACAUUUCUUAAUUUAAUUGAGAGUUUGUAAUUUCUUGGACUCUCUAGACUGUAUGGUUUUUAUCUUGGUUUUGGUUUCAUUUGCUUUAUAAUUGGCAUGGUUUGGCAAAAUGUUUUAUGAAAAUAACGAUUUUUACGCAAAUAAAGGUUUUUUUAAAAAUAUGAACUACCUUUUUGAAAUACAACGAUUUUCGUAAGCUUCCGCUGUAAAACACGUUUAAAGGCAUAUUAAUUAAUUAGAUAACGUUUUGACAUUGAUACAAGCACAUAAGAAUUGAAAAACUGAAAUGGUUUUAUCGUUUUGACUUCGUUUCCAAACCCAUUCUUUGUGACACCUCCAGAUUCGGCCAUAACGUCUAGGCUGAGUUUGGGGUGUUACAAUUAUACCUUGCCAAAAUGUAUAAUCCACUAAAUGACAUCCAAUGCCUAAUGGUUAGACCGUACAUAAUGUUUUGCGCCCAACGCUUAUUGUUUAACUCGACAAGAUCAUUUUUGUGCCUAGCACUAGUCGAACAAAUCGACAAAUUAUUAUGUCCAGCGCUAGUCAUAUAACUGACGAUAGUUGUGCCCAGCACUAGUCGAACAAGUCGACAAAUUAUUGAGCCCAGAGCUAGUCGAAUAACCUAUGAUAGUUGUGCCCGACACUAGUUGAACAAGUCAACAAAUUAUUAUGCCCAGCGCUAGUCGGAUAACUGACGAUAGUUGUGCUCACCAAGAAUUAAAUCCUCAAAACCAUAUUUUAUAAUUUAAUCAACCACAACAAUAUUAAUGAAAAUAUUAUUGAUCUAAUUCAUUAAAUUCGAAUAUUUUUCCAUAGUAUUCCAUCCAAAAGAAUUAACCAAUUAUAUUAAUGGAUAUCAUUUGAUAUCAAAUAUGACCAAAUUAAUUAAAUUAAAAAAAGAGUUCGAGUCAAGGACUACGAACUUACCAUAUUGUGAGGGCUAUUAAGGUCGAUGAUGAUUACUCGACAACCUUCUCCUUUCCACGAUUACUAGCCGAUCCUUUCGUUUCUCGAUCUAAAAUUUACAACAUAAUUAAUUUAAUUUAUUUACUCACCAAGAAACAUUUACUCAAACCAUUAACCCUUUAACCACAUUUCACAUAUUUGCACUCGACAUUAACCUUCAAUACAAUUUAAUCCUCAAUUCCAAAACAUGCUAUUUAGUUAACAAAUCCCAUGUUAACCGUUUUUCCUCAAAGUCCAAAAACAAUUCAUACUUUCAAUCAAUUCACAAUAUAAUCCUAGAAUUUACCAUUUUAAUGAAAAAGUUCCUAAACUUUAAAAUCCAUCAAAAUAACACCAAAAACUUGAAAUUUUCUACAAUGGCAACUUCCACAAACAUCAUAAAUUCUAAAAGUUCCAAUAUGGGUAAGCUAGUUCAUGAUAUUAAGGUUCCAAAAAUAUAAAAUUUAAGUAAAAAAGAUCAAAAUUUACUAACCAAAUUAACUUGAAACUUUCAGCCCCAUGUGUUUCUCUUCUCCUCCUAAGCUUUUCUUGUUCGAAAUUGAAACAAAUUGAAAAGGAAUUUUUAAGCUUCUCUUCCUAUCCACCAUCUAUUAUUCAUCUUUAUUUUAUUUUAUUUACAGUAGUUUAAUAUUAUAGUUAACAUAAUAUAUAUUACAUAUACAUAUAAAUAUGAUAUGACCGUCCCCUUAUUUAACAAUAAGGGUAUAAUUAUUUUUUCAAGUCCUAUAAUUAUAAAUUAGUUUAUAGUUUAAUAAUCAUUAUACUUUUUUCACUUAAGCAAUUAAGUCCCUCUAUCUUAAUUUAAGUUCUAAUUCAAUGAAAUCACCUAACCGAUAUUUAAUUUACUUUUAACAUAAUUCCGUAAAUAUUUUAAUAAAAAUAUUUACAAAUUUGGUUUACGAAAAUGGGGUCCCAAAAUUAUAUUUUUCGGCACUGCUGACUUUCGGGUCAUUACAUUUACAUCCCCAUUCUAGCCUUCAAAGUUGGUUGUCGCGACACCACUAAUGAAUGUCUCGACAUUGGGAUCGUUCUUCAAAUUCCAUGGCCCGAAAUAGUGUCUUGCACACUCAAUUAACCCAUUAGUUUCUCCCUAAGCCUUGAUUGGCCUAGCAGGUCAUUAAACACCUAACAAUGUGUAAAGACACUUAUUCUAUUGAAAUCGAGCACAAAAUGCUAAAAUUGGAAAUUAAUAGUAAUGUAAUCAAAUUACUCGAAAACAAGCUCAUUAACUACAAUAAAGAACCUAAUUACUCGUUGCUUGUCCGUAAAGAAACAAAACAAACAUGCAAGGAAAAAGAAAUAAGAAAAAUAGAAGUGUACUUCAGCAUGCUUCAUACAAGGAAUUAAUUCAGAACAUCAUAAAUAUGAGAGUUUAGUUAAACAUGCAAUUCUAGAAAGAUAUAUGAAUGACUCAUGGUUUUCAUCAUUAAGUAGGUUAGUUCAUUGGGUUAGAAAGGAAACAAGUUAAAGAUUGAUAAAUAUAUGCUUUCAUCAAGCUGACUACACAAGUACUACAUUAAUGUUCGCAGAACACAAGCAAUGGGCACCAAAUUAUAACAACACCACAUUUACCAAAACAUGUGAACUUUACCUAUUUCCAUGAAUAAAGACUCCAUUCUAUUAUGUGCCUAAUACCAUCAUAAUUGGCCAUUUCCAAGGCAACAUCUUAUAUUAAAAUGUCAUGCACUACAAUUCACAAAAGUGACCAAAAGGUCUUACCUAAACAAGCAUUCUUGACAUUAGGAUAUAACAUACUAAAAUGCCAUUUACAUAUUCACAAAACACUAUACAAACAUCCUAUACAGCUAUCUAUAAACAAAAGAUUCAAAUCAAUUGAUACCCCCUAGGUACAUGUCAAAAACACAAAAGAGAACAUCACUGACGUUGAGAACGAGAUUCUUGUAGGAUGUUGAGUCCAAGUAUACUAUAUACCUAACCUGUAAACAUGAGAACCCAUUCACAUUAAUUAGAUUUCACUUAUUUGAAUAACCUCAAAUAUAUCUAAAACAUUGAACUUAUUUUUAUAACAUUAAUAAUGUAAUUCAAGAAAUAUAACAUAUCUUCCAAUGAAUACAUAAGCACAUAAGUAAAUAUAAUCCUUCUUUAAUAAUACCUAUAACAACCUUCUUCAAUGGUUCAUAUAACCUGGUGGUAUAGUCCAAUUAAUACACGACACUAGGUGCCUAGCGGAAUAACCGCGAAAGAGUUUGUGUCCAGCGCUAGUCGAAUGAACCGAUAAAUGUUUACCAAGCACUAGUCAAUUAAAUUGACGGAUGUUGCACCCAGUGCUAGUCAGAUAAACCGAUGAAUACAUAAUGAGCCCAACUCUAGUUGGAUAUACCAACGGGAUUUGCGCCCAGCGCCAGCCGAAUGAAUUGACAAAUUAAAUAAUGAGGCCAACUCUAAUUGGAUUAACCAACAAAUUGUUAUUAUUUAAUUACACAAUUUCUUCAUUCAUUGAGUAUAUCUUCAUUUAAAUAUAAACAUAAUAUUGCAUAUCAAGUAUUUAAAUAACAUCUAUUAAUAAUUAAAUAAAUAGAUAAAAAGGUUAAAUUCAAGAUUAUGAACUUACAGAAUUAUGGAAGCUACUAAAAUAAAAAAAAAUCACUCGAUAGCCUUUUCCUUUUUGCGAUUAGCAAUUGAUCCACUCAAUUUUUUAUUUAAAAAUAAUAAUUUAAAUUUAAUAAUCCAACCACCAAGAAUAUUUAUACUCAAACAUUUAACCCCUUUGAACAAAUUUCACAUCUUUGCAUUCAAUUCAUAUAAACUAUUUUCCAGCAUUCCUUUAACUACUAAAAAUUACAAUUUAAACCAUAUUAUUUUGAAUUUACAACAUUUAAGUCCCUAGAAAUUGUUAUCAGCAAAAAUAACCACACAAUUUGACCAAAUUAGCCUACAAGACUUAUACUUCAAUCAUCACUUCAAGGACUUUUAACAUUCAACAAAAUAACACCAAACCUUUGAAUUUCUUAUCCAUUAUAACCUCCAUAAAUUUCAUUCACUCUCAAAUUUUCAACAUGAGCCAACUAACUCAUAACACUAAAACAUCAAAAACAUAAAUUUCAUGCAGAAAUAACCAAAUUUCACUUACAAAUUUAAACAUGCAUUAUAGCUUCUUGGCCGAACAACCCCUUCUUCCCUUUCCUUAUGGUUUCGCAAAGAAGAAAAAAAUAAAGAAAACUAUUGCUUAAUUUUCUUCUCCCCACUAACUAUUUUUGUUAAUAAAAUAUAACCUUUCAUAUUAAUUUUUAACUUAACUAAUAUUCUAACAUAACACAGAUGUAAAAUACUAAUAAAAUACACUAAUAUAAUUAAUGGCUUAUUUACUUAAUAAGUCCCUUGAUAUUGAUCCACCUUAUAAUUUAAUUUAAAUUCUUAUUUUUAUCACUUAUUUGAUUUAAUUCCCUUACGUUAAUCAAACACUUAAUACUUAGAAUUAUCUAACUAUCAUACAAUUCCCUCCUAAGACAAAUUCUAAAAAAAAUAUUUAAUGAAAAUAAUUAUAAACUUAAUUCACAGAACGGGAUCCUGGAAGUACGUCACUCGACACCUUUAACUUUUAGGUUGUUACAAUAUACGUAACAAAAACAAAACAAAGAGGGAACAACAAAAGAAAAAUGUAAAAGAAAAAGAAAUAGAAACAAGGAGAAAAACGCGGGAAUUAGGGAGAAUGGAAUAGAAUAGAAGGAGAAAUAAAAUAAAAACAAAAGGCAAAAUGCAAAAGUGGGGGGAGUAGGUGAGAGAUAAUUUUGGAAACCAAUUUUUUUUCAAAAAUUAAAGAUAAAAUAUAAUAUAAUAAAACAAAAUUCUAAUUUAUCAGAUUUUUCCUUAAAAUUUAAAUUUGACUAAAUUUUUGACAGAAUAAACGACAUGUAAAAAGGAGCAAAAAUAUUUUCAUUUUGCACUCACAAGGAUUCGAAUACAAUACCAAAAAAUAAGUUGAAGCCUUACCACUAAAUCAAUAAGUUCUUUCUUAUUAACAAUUGAGCGAAAAUUAAAUAUAAGUUAGAUAUGCAAAAAAAGAGAUAGGGACAAAACUAGCAAAAAUUAAAAAAAAAAACAAUUUGAACAUAAGACCUCAAACACACAUCCAAAGCACUUAUCCACUAAAAUAGAUCAAUUUACUCGAUAACAUUUCCGCAAUCAUAACUAAAAAUCAGGACGUGACCAGUCUUGACUUCACUAACUCAAUUUCUUCUAACUCGGUUUUCGAGUUGUGACAAAAAUUUUCAUAUAUUAUAAUAUUAAAUAUGUUACUUUCAAAAAAAUAAAAUUAAUUUAUAGCAUUCAUAUUAUAUAAGGAUUUAAGGAUUUAGUAUUUAGUACACUAACAAUGUACUUUUUUUUUAUUCUACUAGUAGUUUUAAAAAAUUAUCAUGUCUCUUUUUUUAAAAUAUAUUUUACUAUAACCCUAUAGGACUCUUGUUAAUCUCUUAACCCUAUUUAUGGAGUCUAAAAACUUUAUUGACAGUGUACCAACUAUUAUUUCAUUAUAUAAUCAUAAAUAUUACAUAUUAUAUGUACUUUUAGUUAUAUUAUAUAAAAUAUCUUUAUUUUAAUAAAAUAUAUAUAAUAUUUGAAUUCGAAUCAAAUCCAUAUUUUAAAUAAAUUUUAUUUUACCUAAAACCUAGGGAGCCUAAUUUUAUUUUCAAACCAUCAGACGAUUGUUUUAAGUUUGUUUCACCAUCUAAAUUAAUUAUAAUAUUAAAAAUAUAUAAUAAAAAAUAUAUUUAAUAGUUAGAAGAAUUAGUUGAAUUGUAUGGACAGAUGUGACGGAACGUGGUACAAUCCUUAUAUAGGGUAGAAAUGAGGUUUUAAAUGAUGAAGCGAUAAGUGAAAUCUAUAAUUGUUAAUGAGUAGGUUUCUUUGUUGAAACUCGAAUGUUGGUUUAAAUUUGUGUGAGGUUUACUUAAAGUUUAUUUAAAUAUAGUUUGAGUUCAUACUUAAAUAUUUAAUGUUUGAAUUAAUUUAAUUUGACUCGUUUUUAAGUUAGUAAUAUUUUAUGUUAUGUUAUUUUAAUAUGUUAUGUAAUUUAUAAUAUAUAAAAAUUAAAUUUUUAGUAGUAUUAUAUAAAUAUUAAAAAUUGUUAAAGUGACUAUAUAUAAAAUUAUUAAAUAUUUAAUUAAAAUUAAAAUAAAUAUUUAUUUAAAUUUUUUUUAAAAAUAAUAUAAAUAAACUUAAAAUAAGAUUGGAUUAAUCAUUUAUAAAUAUAAAUAAAUUUAAUAAAAUUUUAAACUUAUAUUUUAAAUUAAAUCAAAUUUAGAUAAAUAUAAAAUAUAUUAAUAACAUGCAUAAACUCAACCUGCACUCAGCUCUACCCAUAAACAUUUAUAGUGAAAACCAACAGAAAUGUGGAGGAUAGGAUGGAGAGGUAGAAGAGUGGAGGCUAGAAUUGGAUGGAUGCACCAAAGUCACGUGCCACCCAGUCUUAACAACUAGCCAUGUGGACUUGGCUCUGCUCAACCACGUGACUCUCAACUACCCUCUCCCAAGCUCCUAUAUCUUAUUUAUAGGACCAAACUCUGGACUGUCAACAACACCUUCUGUUCUUUUUUACCAUUCAUAGCAUAGCAGCUUAGUCCAACUCCACACCCACCACCAUUGGCUGUUUGUGAUCAUCCGAAAAAGAAUGGUGACCGUGGAAGAAGUUCGUAAGGCUCAACGUGCCCAAGGCCCUGCCACCGUGUUGGCCAUCGGCACAUCAACCCCGCCUAAUUGUGUUGAUCAGAGCACAUACCCUGACUACUAUUUCCGUAUCACAAAUAGUGAGCACAAGACCGAGUUGAAAGAGAAGUUCAAGCGCAUGUGUAAGUUUUUUACUUUAAUCUAAAAGCUAAAUUACCUUAUAUACAAACUUAAUGUGAUUUUGUGUUUCAUACAUGAUUCGGCUAUGAAAAUAAAAGAGGAGAAAGAUAGAUGUGCAUGGUUCAUAUCAUUUUCAUGCAAAUGCUUUAACGGAAAAAAAGUUAGCUACGUAUACAGUAUGACUUGAAAAUAGAUUAAAGUUCUUUUCUGGUUCCAAAAAUACUAGAUUGAAGUUUGUUAGGUUCAUUUCUUGUAAAGCACAUUUAUUCAAAUCAUAUAACUCCACAGACUUAAUUUGUCUCACGUUUUCUAUCAAUAGAUUAAGGAUUUGAUUACAAGUUUGAAAUUUAUACAAGUGAAUUAAUAAGUUUUUCUUUUUUUU
This 15646-nucleotide long non-coding RNA is filed under the name Gossypium barbadense (sea-island cotton). RNAcentral's name for it is "long non-coding RNA (GBAR_LNC009196)". Lineage: Eukaryota; Viridiplantae; Streptophyta; Magnoliopsida; Malvales; Malvaceae. The record is from RNAcentral.